RNAcentral lists this ribosomal RNA (305 nucleotides) under uncultured bacterium. RNAcentral's name for it is "bacterial SSU rRNA". It matches the Rfam family "Bacterial small subunit ribosomal RNA", at positions 334 to 638 of the family's 1533-position model. The record is from RNAcentral.
CACCCUACGGGAGGCAGCAGUGAGGAAUAUUGGUCAAUGGCCGUAAGGCUGAACCAGCCAAGUCGCGUGAAGGAAGAAGGAUCUAUGGUUUGUAAACUUCUUUUAUAGGGGAAUAAAGGUAUCCACGUGUGGAUAUUUGCAUGUACCCUAUGAAAAAGCAUCGGCUAACUCCGUGCCAGCAGCCGCGGUAAUACGGAGGAUGCGAGCGUUAUCCGGAUUUAUUGGGUUUAAAGGGUGCGUAGGCGGAAUGCCAAGUCAGCGGUAAAAUCGCGGGGCUCAACCUCGCUCCGCCGUUGAAACUGGCG